RNAcentral lists this ribosomal RNA (483 nucleotides) under uncultured bacterium. RNAcentral's name for it is "partial 16S ribosomal RNA". It matches the Rfam family "Bacterial small subunit ribosomal RNA", at positions 28 to 523 of the family's 1533-position model. The record is from RNAcentral.
GAUGAACGCUGGCGGCGUGCCUAAUACAUGCAAGUCGAGCGAACCACUUCGGUGGUGAGCGGCGAACGGGUGAGUAACACGUAGGUGAUCUGCCCAUCAGACGGGGACAACGAUUGGGAACGAUCGCUAAUACCGGAUAGGACGAAAGUUUAAAGGUGCUUCUGGCACCGCUGAUGGUUGAGCCUGCGGCGCAUUAGCUAGUUGGUAGGGUAAAGGCCUACCAAGGCGACGAUGCGUAGCCGACCUGAGAGGGUGAACGGCCACACUGGGACUGAGACACGGCCCAGACUCCUACGGGAGGCAGCAGUAGGGAAUCUUCGGCAAUGGGCGAAAGCCUGACCGAGCAACGCCGCGUGAAUGAUGAAGGCCUUCGGGUUGUAAAAUUCUGUUAUAAGGGAAGAACGACUUUAGUAGGAAAUGGCUAGAGUGUGACGGUACCUUAUGAGAAAGCCACGGCUAACUACGUGCCAGCAGCCGCGGUAA